This 646-nucleotide long non-coding RNA is filed under the name Olea europaea subsp. europaea. The record is from RNAcentral. Lineage: Eukaryota; Viridiplantae; Streptophyta; Magnoliopsida; Lamiales; Oleaceae.
CCAGUUUCUUAAUUGUUGCAUUCCCCCAGUUUCUUCACCCAUUUUCAUACAGGGUCACCCUCCAUCAAUUCAUUCAAUUUGUUCAGAAAUACAACUUUCAGAUUCAGCUCCUGCUUAUCUGAGGCCAAGUGAAUGUUGGACGCUAGUUAGAGAGUAAAAGUGUGCAACUACUUCUUGCCAACGAGAGCUCCGUCAUUCGACAGUACAGCGGGGAUUCCCAAUGCUGACAAAAACAAUUUGAAGGAUUUACAUAGGGUCUAUUCAGUAGUGAUUUUGAGAAUUGAUUUUUUGACUAUUUAGGAGAAAAGUGAGAGCCGCCGAUGAGAAAAGAAGUCAAAAAUUACGGCUGGAAGAAUGAAAUAAAGGUCAAAAAAUCAAUUUUUGUUGGUGGAAAAUCACUUCCAAACGAGGCCAUAAUACAAAUAAGCUGCUUAAGAGUAAGGGAAGAUUGGGGCGGGUAAGAUUAAUUGGAGAAGUUGUAUAAACAUAGAUCCGCCAGAUUGGGAAUAGGUAUGAAUUGUAGUAUUUGUGUAGAUAGAGAUUUUUUCUCUUGUAUAGAGAGGGAUUAUGUGAAAUUGUUAUUAUUAUUAAUCUUAUAAAUAUAUAAAAUAUAUCAUUGUUAUUUAUCACCUGAUUUUUGAAAUCU